GCGGCGGACGGGUGAGUAACACGUGGGCAACCUGCCUCAUAGAGGGGAAUAGCCUCCCGAAAGGGAGAUUAAUACCGCAUAAGAUUGUAGCUUCGCAUGAAGUAGCAAUUAAAGGAGCAAUCCGCUAUGAGAUGGGCCCGCGGCGCAUUAGCUAGUUGGUGAGGUAACGGCUCACCAAGGCGACGAUGCGUAGCCGACCUGAGAGGGUGAUCGGCCACAUUGGGACUGAGACACGGCCCAGACUCCUACGGGAGG
This 255-nucleotide ribosomal RNA is filed under the name uncultured bacterium. Its description in RNAcentral is "partial 16S ribosomal RNA". It matches the Rfam family "Bacterial small subunit ribosomal RNA", at positions 95 to 348 of the family's 1533-position model. The record is from RNAcentral.